RNAcentral lists this ribosomal RNA (443 nucleotides) under uncultured bacterium. RNAcentral's name for it is "partial 16S ribosomal RNA". It matches the Rfam family "Bacterial small subunit ribosomal RNA", at positions 338 to 795 of the family's 1533-position model. The record is from RNAcentral.
CCUACGGGCGGCAGCAGUGGGGAAUAUUGGGCAAUGGAGGCAACUCUGACCCAGCAAUGCCGCGUGAAUGAAGAAGGUCUUCGGAUUGUAAAGUUCUUUAAUCAGGGACGAAGAAGAUGACGGUACCCCUUGAAUAAGCCACGGCUAACUACGUGCCAGCAGCCGCGGUAAUACGUAGGUGGCAAGCGUUGUCCGGAUUUACUGGGUGUAAAGGGCGUGCAGCCGGAGAGACAAGUCAGAUGUGAAAUCCACGGGCUCAACCCGUGAACUGCAUUUGAAACUGUUUCCCUUGAGUGUCGGAGAGGUAAUCGGAAUUCCUUGUGUAGCGGUGAAAUGCGUAGAUAUAAGGAAGAACACCAGUGGCGAAGGCGGAUUACUGGACGAUAACUGACGGUGAGGCGCGAAAGCGUGGGGAGCAAACAGGAUUAGAUACCCCAGUAGUC